This is a long non-coding RNA of Dreissena polymorpha, 706 nucleotides long. RefSeq lists it as uncharacterized. The record is from RefSeq and is a predicted model, not a curated record. The transcript has 3 exons. NCBI's taxonomy places the organism in Eukaryota, Metazoa, Mollusca, Bivalvia, Myida, Dreissenidae.
AACUGGUUUGUUUGGAAAAAAUGGCUGCCGCCAUGAUGGUGCCUUUUCACAUCUUCUGCAAGUUUAUGUGACGACCUGUUUAAAGUUUAACAUUGACACGCGCCAGUUCAUGUGUCAACGAGCGCAAAUUGUGAAAGAUGGCUUGGAAAAAUUCAGUUCAGAGUUUAAAGCGCCACCUUGCAACAAACAGCGCCAUGGAAACAGCUGUGGAGUGUUUGCAUUGAUGACUGCCAAAUGUUUGGUCAUGAAAAAGCAUCCCACAAUGUUGCGACAGGCCCAUGAUUCAGUUUAUCGAGACUAGUCGUGAGACCCAGACUUCUGAUUCAUGGAGUGCGGCAAACAAAUCUGUGCGACUCGAUCACUCAACUGUAAAGACCUGCAAGGCAUUAAAAUGGAUAUUAUCAAUAUGUGUUGUUGCUCGAAAAUAUGUUUUUGUAGCAGGAAGUGCUUUGGGCUCGAUUAAUCUGAGAACUCAACAAAAUAUUAAUAAAAUCCUUCUGUGCCUUUUAGUUCUGAAAACAGAAGUAGCCAGUUGGUAUUACACAUCUCCUAAACAAGUACAGCACAAUAAAACUUAAGGUUUUAUAAUCCUAAAUUUUUAUAACAUCUUUAUAUCAACACAAAAAUAUUGAUGAUUGUGGUGCUCAGAUUGCAAAACCACCUGUUUGGCAAAAAUAAUGCAGAUGGUUAGAUUAUGAUAAGUGUA